Falco peregrinus (peregrine falcon) is the source of this 262-nucleotide long non-coding RNA. RefSeq lists it as uncharacterized. The record is from RefSeq and is a predicted model, not a curated record. NCBI's taxonomy places the organism in Eukaryota, Metazoa, Chordata, Aves, Falconiformes, Falconidae. The transcript has 3 exons.
GUUAAGGGGUUGAGAGCCAGUGAAGGAAGAGCAGCCGAGGAAGAAGAGGUGAGAGAGCAAGAAGCAAGAGAAGGGAGAGCGUGCCCUGAAUGAGUUGGUAGAAUUGCGAAGCCUCAAUUGCACUGAGGACGUUUCACUUCAACGGCCCCAGGCUUGGCUAAACCUCUGGGUCCUUUCAGCUGCUGUGAAAGUGCAUAGUAACUGCUGGUCUUUUCUUGUUGGUAUCUUCAGUCACACAUAGAACCCAGCUUGGAGGAAUUCU